This 1336-nucleotide unclassified non-coding RNA is filed under the name Hevea brasiliensis (rubber tree). Lineage: Eukaryota; Viridiplantae; Streptophyta; Magnoliopsida; Malpighiales; Euphorbiaceae. The record is from RNAcentral.
CAUAUUGAAAAAGCAUGUUUCAUCUUCAUCUUCAUCGACAAACUUAGACCCAGUUGACAUUAGCUUAUUAAAGAAACUUAUACAGUUCUUCCAGAAACAGGAUCUAGCCCUAGCUUGGUUUUCCUCUGAUUCAUUACCAAGUGCAAUAUCUUGAUGGCAGGCUAACCAUUCUACGAAAACCAAAAUACCAGGCAAUAAGAAGCUUGAUGAGGGAUCAUUUAACUGGAUACAUCUCUCAACCAGAUGACCCAUGAACUCAAAAGCAGCAGUAAAUGCCUUCUGCAGAAGAACUGAUCUUUGUAGAAUCCCGGCAUAUGACUGAUUAUCAUUUUCCCUAAUCACAUUAUGGAUGGUGAAUAUUAAGAUGGCCACGAGCCUGACAAUUGCCAGUCUGCAGUCAGCAGCAGUUGAACCAAAAUUAUACUUCUCAUCAGACCCAGAAGAGAGAAGCUCAAGCAGAUCAUUCUUAACCAUCAACAACACUUCAUCAAAGGUCUCCAAGCUAGUGCGCGUGAAGAGAAUGCCAUUCAACCGAACAUACCCUGUGCUAAAGGUUUUGAAGAUUUCAGAUGUACUCAAUGCUUUUUCCUUUGGUAAACUUGCCUCAACCUUUCCAUCUUUCAGAGACGGCCUUGUUUCAUAUUUACCUCGUCCUCUACCAGUUGUUCGGGAAGGAGUUACCUUGGUAGACGAAGCCUUAGCAUCCACUGGCAGCUGGGAGAAAUAUUGACGAUUCUUCUCAAAUGCAAUGAUCAGGUUGUCCCUUGCAGUCGUAAAAGGAUUCUCUACUGCAAGACUACGAAAAUACCGAUAGAUUGCCACCAACUCAUCACUGGAAUAGGAGGCCAAUAUUGCAAGCUGAUGAUGAGGGUUGCCACUUGAUGGCCACAAUGAAGAAGCUUGCGUGUAAUAACUUGAUGCUGCCGCAAGGUCACGAGCUUUAGAGUCACCCUCACCAUAUAAGCCUCUGUACCGAGCAAGAUCACCCAGAUAAAUCAAACAACGAUGGCAGGAUACCAAGCCUUUCUUCACCUCAAUAGACUUAUUAGCUUCAUUAGAAGAAGGAAUCUGAUCCCCUGGAUCAUCAGAGAAACCUCCUACUGUCAGGCCAUACUUUGCCCUGAUUUUCACCAUCAAAUCAUGAUAGAAGCCAGUUGCUUCUGACAGAAAAGUCUUGAACUGCGUCCGGAUCUUUAUGAUGUUAUCCGAACCGUUACGAGGUGGACCUUUCCCAGUCUGAGAGGUUGAUCCACUUGAAGCUAUUGCAGCAUUGAAGCGUGCACGCAGUUCUUCAAUUCUUCUAUAAUGCAACUGCCACAAGGCGUACUCUAUUUCA